GCGAAGCGGGCGGCGGAGGAGCCGCAUCGGCGCGACGCGCGCGGAGAUGAGGGGGGAAUUGCAUCGGUCACGGCUCGGUGCCGUGCGCCCGGCA
RNAcentral lists this transfer RNA (94 nucleotides) under Microbacterium sp. Bi128. Its description in RNAcentral is "tRNA-Arg". The record is from RNAcentral. Lineage: Bacteria; Bacillati; Actinomycetota; Actinomycetes; Micrococcales; Microbacteriaceae.